GAUGAACGCUGGCGGCGUGCCUAAUACAUGCAAGUCGAGCGAACAUCAGAGAAGCUUGCUUCUCUGAUGUUAGCGGCGGACGGGUGAGUAACACGUGGGUAACCUACCUAUAAGACUGGGAUAACUCCGGGAAACCGGGGCUAAUACCGGAUAAUAUUUUGGACCGCAUGGUUCGAUAGUGAAAGACGGUUUCGGCUGUCACUUAUAGAUGGACCCGCGCCGUAUUAGCUAGUUGGUAAGGUAACGGCUUACCAAGGCGACGAUACGUAGCCGACCUGAGAGGGUGAUCGGCCACACUGGAACUGAGACACGGUCCAGACUCCUACGGGAGGCAGCAGUAGGGAAUCUUCCGCAAUGGGCGAAAGCCUGACGGAGCAACGCCGCGUGAGUGAUGAAGGUCUUCGGAUCGUAAAACUCUGUUGUUAGGGAAGAACAAAUUUGUUAGUAACUGAACAAGUCUUGACGGUACCUAACCAGAAAGCCACGGCUAACUACGUGCCAGCCGCCGCAGUAC
This 514-nucleotide ribosomal RNA is filed under the name uncultured bacterium. RNAcentral describes it as "partial 16S ribosomal RNA". It matches the Rfam family "Bacterial small subunit ribosomal RNA", at positions 28 to 523 of the family's 1533-position model. The record is from RNAcentral.